RNAcentral lists this ribosomal RNA (398 nucleotides) under uncultured bacterium. Its description in RNAcentral is "partial 16S ribosomal RNA". It matches the Rfam family "Bacterial small subunit ribosomal RNA", at positions 523 to 918 of the family's 1533-position model. The record is from RNAcentral.
AUACGUAGGGUGCGAGCGUUGUCCGGAAUUACUGGGCGUAAAGAGCUCGUAGGUGGUUUGUCGCGUCGUCUGUGAAAUUCCGGGGCUUAACUCCGGGCGUGCAGGCGAUACGGGCAUAACUUGAGUACUGUAGGGGAGACUGGAAUUCCUGGUGUAGCGGUGAAAUGCGCAGAUAUCAGGAGGAACACCGGUGGCGAAGGCGGGUCUCUGGGCAGCAACUGACGCUGAGGAGCGAAAGCAUGGGUAGCGAACAGGAUUAGAUACCCUGGUAGUCCAUGCCGUAAACGGUGGGCGCUAGGUGUAGGGGUCUUCCACGACUUCUGUGCCGUAGCUAACGCAUUAAGCGCCCCGCCUGGGGAGUACGGCCGCAAGGCUAAAACUCAAAUGAAUUGGCGGGG